Molecule: ribosomal RNA, 484 nt
Filed under: uncultured bacterium
Lineage: Bacteria
Description: partial 16S ribosomal RNA
Rfam family: Bacterial small subunit ribosomal RNA
Source: RNAcentral
AUUGAACGCUGGCGGCAGGCCUAACACAUGCAAGUCGAGCGGAUGAAGGGAGCUUGCUCCUGGAUUCAGCGGCGGACGGGUGAGUAAUGCCUAGGAAUCUGCCUGGUAGUGGGGGAUAACGUCCGGAAACGGGCGCUAAUACCGCAUACGUCCUGAGGGAGAAAGUGGGGGAUCUUCGGACCUCACGCUAUCAGAUGAGCCUAGGUCGGAUUAGCUAGUUGGUGGGGUAAAGGCCUACCAAGGCGACGAUCCGUAACUGGUCUGAGAGGAUGAUCAGUCACACUGGAACUGGGACACGGUCCAGACUCCUACGGGAGGCAGCAGUGGGGAAUAUUGGACAAUGGGCGAAAGCCUGAUCCAGCCAUGCCGCGUGUGUGAAGAAGGUCUUCGGAUUGUAAAGCACUUUAAGUUGGGAGGAAGGGCAGUAAGUUAAUACCUUGCUGCUUUGACGUUACCAACAGAAUAAGCACCGGCUAACUUCGUG